CGUUAACGAACGAGACCUCGACCUGCUAAAUAGUUCGCCCAAGAUUUCGAUCUUGGUUGCGUGACUUCUUAGAGGGACUAUCGGUGUGUAGCCGACGGAAGUUCGAGGCAAUAACAGGUCUGUGAUGCCCUUCGAUGUUCUGGGCCGCACGCGCGCUACACUGAUGAAGUCAACGAGUUCAUAUCCUUUAUCGAAAGAUAUGGGUAAUCUUUUGAAACUUCAUCGUGAUGGGGAUAGAGCAUUGCAAUUAUUGCUCUUCAACGAGGAAUCCCUAGUAAGCACAAGUCAUCAGCUUGUGUUGAUUACGUCCCUGCCCUUUGUACACACCGCCCGUCGCUACUACCGAUUGAAUGGC
This 355-nucleotide ribosomal RNA is filed under the name uncultured fungus. RNAcentral's name for it is "bacterial SSU rRNA". It matches the Rfam family "Eukaryotic small subunit ribosomal RNA", at positions 1326 to 1697 of the family's 1831-position model. Lineage: Eukaryota; Fungi. The record is from RNAcentral.